UGGGGAAUAUUGGACAAUGGGGGCAACCCUGAUCCAGCCAUGCCGCGUGAGUGAUGAAGGCCCUAGGGUUGUAAAGCUCUUUCAACGGUGAAGAUAAUGACGGUAACCGUAGAAGAAGCCCCGGCUAACUUCGUGCCAGCAGCCGCGGUAAUACGAAGGGGGCUAGCGUUGUUCGGAAUUACUGGGCGUAAAGCGCACGUAGGCGGAUCGUUAAGUGAGGGGUGAAAUCCCGGGGCUCAACCCCGGAACUGCCUUUCAUACUGGCGGUCUUGAGUUCGAGAGAGGUGAGUGGAAUUCCGAGUGUAGAGGUGAAAUUCGUAGAUAUUCGGAGGAACACCAGUGGCGAAGGCGGCUCACUGGCUCGAUACUGACGCUGAGGUGCGAAAGCGUGGGGAGCAAACAGGAUUAGAUACCCCCGUAGUCC
RNAcentral lists this ribosomal RNA (424 nucleotides) under uncultured prokaryote. RNAcentral describes it as "bacterial SSU rRNA". It matches the Rfam family "Bacterial small subunit ribosomal RNA", at positions 355 to 796 of the family's 1533-position model. The record is from RNAcentral.